Molecule: unclassified non-coding RNA, 294 nt
Filed under: uncultured Pleosporales
Lineage: Eukaryota; Fungi; Ascomycota; Dothideomycetes; Pleosporales
Description: sequence contains ITS1
Rfam family: 5.8S ribosomal RNA (bases 1-105)
Source: RNAcentral
GAAAUGCGAUAAGUAGUGUGAAUUGCAGAAUUCAGUGAAUCAUCGAAUCUUUGAACGCACAUUGCGCCCAUUGGUAUUCCAAUGGGCAUGCCUGUUCGAGCGUCAUUUGUACCCUCAAGCCUUGCUUGGUGUUGGGUGUUUGUCCUACAAGACUCGCCUUAAAACAAUUGGCAGCCGGCAUAUUGGUUUCGGAGCGCAGCACAAAUUGCGGUCCUUCCAUGAAUGUCGGCGUCCAUGAAGCCCCCAUUUUCCACUUUUGACCUCGGAUCAGGUAGGGAUACCCGCUGAACUUAA